GCCAGGCGUGGUGGUGGGUGCCUGUAAUCCCAGCUACGUGGGAGGCUGAGGCAGGAGAAUCGCUUGAGCCUGGGAGGUUGAGAUUGCAGUGAGCUGAGAUGGCGCCACUGCACUCCAGCCUGGGCGACAGAGUAAGACUCUGUCUCAA
This 148-nucleotide non-coding RNA is filed under the name Gorilla gorilla gorilla (western lowland gorilla). Lineage: Eukaryota; Metazoa; Chordata; Mammalia; Primates; Hominidae. The record is from Rfam by way of RNAcentral.